UACGAAGGGGGCUAGCGUUGCUCGGAAUCACUGGGCGUAAAGGGUGCGUAGGCGGGUCUUUAAGUCAGGGGUGAAAUCCUGGAGCUCAACUCCAGAACUGCCUUUGAUACUGAGGAUCUUGAGCUCGGGAGAGGUGAGUGGAACUGCGAGUGUAGAGGUGAAAUUCGUAGAUAUUCGCAAGAACACCAGUGGCGAAGGCGGCUCACUGGCCCGAUACUGACGCUGAGGCACGAAAGCGUGGGGAGCAAACAGG
RNAcentral lists this ribosomal RNA (253 nucleotides) under uncultured bacterium. RNAcentral's name for it is "partial 16S ribosomal RNA". It matches the Rfam family "Bacterial small subunit ribosomal RNA", at positions 524 to 776 of the family's 1533-position model. The record is from RNAcentral.